This 1129-nucleotide unclassified non-coding RNA is filed under the name Hevea brasiliensis (rubber tree). The record is from RNAcentral. Lineage: Eukaryota; Viridiplantae; Streptophyta; Magnoliopsida; Malpighiales; Euphorbiaceae.
CUUCUCUCUCUCUACUCUCCCUCUUCCAUCCUUGUUAAAACCGGCUGCACAGAUUCCAUUUUUCUCUCAUAAACCCUAACACUAACAAUGGCCCCCAAAUCCAGCAACUCCAAAUGCAAAACCCCGCAAGACCUCCACUUCAAGCCUGGCUCCAUCGUCGAGAUCAGCUCCGACGACGAUGGAUUCCGUGGCUCCUGGUAUGUGGGCACCAUCAUCCGCCGUGCCUCCACUAAGAACCCUAAUAAAUACCUUGUCCAGUACGAGAAACUAUUCAAUGACAAAGCGGGCAAGAAACCUUUAAGGGAAAUUCUUGAUUUAGUGCAGUUGAGGCCUGUGGCGCCAAGGGAGAAACAAAGGAAGUUUAAGUUCGGCGAGAAAGUGGAUGCAUACCAUAAUGAUGGGUGGUGGGAAGGAUCCAUUACUGAAGAGUGUGAGGAUGGGAGGUUUGCUGUGUUUUUUAGGGGGACGAGAGAGCAGAUUGUGUUUGGAGAGGAGGAUUUGAGGUUGCAUAGGGAGUGGGAUAAUGGGGAAUGGCAACCGUCAUUGGAACGGGUCCAAGAAGAGAAACAGGAAGAGAAUGAGGAAGAGGACGAGGUAAAAGAGGAAAAAAAGAAAGACAAGUUGAAGGAAGAAGUGGAACCAAUGAUUACCAAAGAAGUGAAGCCUAUUGAAGCAAUGACAGAGGAGAAGGUUAGCAAGGGAAUGCUGGUUGAGGAAACACUGAUUUUAAAAGAAGUGAAGCCUAUCGAAGCAAUGUCAGACGAGAAGUUUAGCAAGGGAAUGCCAGUUGAGGUUAGUAGUGAUGAAGAAGGUUUUGAAGGUGCUUGGUUUGCUGCAACUAUUGUUGAAGUGGUCGGAAAGGAUAAGUACCUUAUCGAGUACCAGAGCUUGAGAACAGAAGAUGAUAGUGAUUUUCUAAGAGAGGAGGUUGACAUUCUGCACAUAAGGCCCCGUCCCCCAGAAACCAUAGUUGUUGAUCGUUUUAAAUUGCUGGAUGAAGUUGAUGCUUCAUACAAUGACGGUUGGUGGGUGGGUGUUAUUGCUAAGGUUCUUGCUGACUCAAAGUACAUAGUCUACUUUAGGGACAGCGAGGAGGAAAUGAUGUUUCGACACUCUGAAUUAAGGCUGC